CCCUUCGGGGGUACACGAGUGGCGAACGGGUGAGUAACACGUGAGCAACCUGCCCUUGACUCUGGGAUAACAGUUGGAAACAGCUGCUAAUACCGGAUACGACCCUGGACGACAUCAUCUAGGGUGGAAAGCGCUUUAGCGGUCAAGGAUGGGCUCGCGGCCUAUCAGCUUGUUGGUGAGGUAACGGCUCACCAAGGCUUCGACGGGUAGCCGGCCUGAGAGGGCGACCGGCCACACUGGGACUGAGAUACGGCCCAGACUCCUACGGGAGGCAGCAGUGGGGAAUAUUGCACAAUGGGCGCAAGCCUGAUGCAGCAACGCCGCGUGCGGGAUGACGGCCUUCGGGUUGUAAACCGCUUUCAGUUCCGACGAAGCGCAAGUGACGGUAGGAACAGAAGAAGGACCGGCCAACUACGUGCCAGCAGCCGCGGUGAUACGUAGGGUCCGAGCGUUGUCCGGAAUUAUUGGGCGUAAAGGGCUUGUAGGCGGUUUGCUGCGUCGGAAGUGAAAACUCAGGGCUUAACCCUGAGCCUGCUUCCGAUACGGGCAAACUAGAGGGAUGCAGGGGAGAAUGGAAUUCCUGGUGGAGCGGUGGAAUGCGCAGAUAUCAGGAGGAACACCGGUGGCGAAGGCGGUUCUCUGGGCAUUUCCUGACGCUGAGAAGCGAAAGCGUGGGGAGCAAACAGGCUUAGAUACCCUGGUAGUCCACGCCGUAAACGGUGGGCACUAGGUGUGGGGAACAUUCC
RNAcentral lists this ribosomal RNA (746 nucleotides) under uncultured Microlunatus sp. Its description in RNAcentral is "bacterial SSU rRNA". It matches the Rfam family "Bacterial small subunit ribosomal RNA", at positions 76 to 835 of the family's 1533-position model. The record is from RNAcentral. Lineage: Bacteria; Bacillati; Actinomycetota; Actinomycetes; Propionibacteriales; Propionibacteriaceae.